RNAcentral lists this non-coding RNA (1031 nucleotides) under Trichomonas vaginalis G3. RNAcentral's name for it is "Eukaryotic large subunit ribosomal RNA". It matches the Rfam family "Eukaryotic large subunit ribosomal RNA", at positions 912 to 2147 of the family's 3401-position model. The record is from Rfam by way of RNAcentral. Lineage: Eukaryota; Parabasalia; Trichomonadida; Trichomonadidae.
UAGGUAAAGGUGCGAAAGACUCAUCGAACCACCUAAUAGCUGGUUUCCUCCGAAGUUUCCCUCAGGAUAGCUGUAAUGCAUUUAGUUAAGGGGAGUAGAGAUAUGGGUAGAGGUGCAGGGAGCCUUCGGGUUCUCAACUUAUUUCCAAACUUCGAACCUCCUUGUUAGGCAUUUACCUAACUGGAAAUGCUUAAAUGAAUUAGCGUUACAAGUGGGCUCUGACCGGUAAGCGGUCAUGGCGAAAUGGGAUGAACCAUACGUCUGAAUAAGGUGCCGAAAUGUACUAUCACUGAUACCAUAAAGGGAGUCCAUGUAUUUAGACAGCAGGUCGGUGCCCCUAAAAGCAGGUAUCCGCUAAAGAGUGUGUUAAAACUCACCUGCCGAAUACUAGGGCCCCGAAAAUGAAUGGCGCAUAUAGUACUACCGAUCUCAGACAUCAGUUCUAUUGAACUGAGAGUAGGGGGAUGUGGACAUUUUUGUGAAGGUGCAAUGUGAGUUGGACUGGAAGAAUGUCUAUUACAGAUCCUAAUUGAAGUAGCGAUUAUCCAGGCUUGUAUCCUGGGGGCUGAUGAGGAGUAGGGUUUCUGGACAACUUAAACAGAUCCAGAGUUAGUCGAUCCUAAUCUCAAUAAUGGGAGAAAGGGAGUACAGUUGAUAUUCUGUAACUGACAACAGUUCGCGGCAACGCAUACUAUUUUUCUCCGCCAAUCUUAUACCGUUGGUAGGGAUCUCUUUCCUACAUGACAGUACUAAUACCCAGGGAAACUGGUCAUCAGGCGAACUGCGGCGUUCUGCUGGCAAAACAUAGCUUCGGUUAUGUCAAUGGCUAUUGGAUUGGUCCAUGAAGCGAAAAAUAGUUUACUGUGUCACUCGUACCGAUAACCGCAUCAGGUCUUCUAGGUAAGUAGCCUAUGGCCAUUGAGGCAUGAUAGUUCAGGAAUUCGGCCAAUUAGAGCUGUAACUUCGGGAUAAAGCUUGGCUCUGAUGAAAAUCAGAACCGAUUGUUACGCGGAGAGCCCAACUGUUUUAUA